CGUACACUCCUGCGGGAGGCAGCAGUGGGGAAUAUUGCACAAUGGGCGCAAGCCUGAUGCAGCCAUGCCGCGUGUAUGAAGAAGGCCUUCGGGUUGUAAAGUACUUUCAGCGGGGAGGAAGGCAAUACGGUUAAUAACCGUGUUGAUUGACGUUACCCGCAGAAGAAGCACCGGCUAACUCCGUGCCAGCAGCCGCGGUAAUACGGAGGGUGCAAGCGUUAAUCGGAAUUACUGGGCGUAAAGCGCACGCAGGCGGUCUGUCAAGUCGGAUGUGAAAUCCCCGGGCUCAACCUGGGAACUGCAUUCGAAACUGGCAGGCUUGAGUCUUGUAGAGGGGGGUAGAAUUCCAGGUGUAGCGGUGAAAUGCGUAGAGAUCUGGAGGAAUACCGGUGGCGAAGGCGGCCCCCUGGACAAAGACUGACGCUCAGGUGCGAAAGCGUGGGGAGCAAACAGGAUUAGAUACCCCAGUAGUCCCAUG
This 478-nucleotide ribosomal RNA is filed under the name uncultured organism. Its description in RNAcentral is "partial 16S ribosomal RNA". It matches the Rfam family "Bacterial small subunit ribosomal RNA", at positions 330 to 799 of the family's 1533-position model. The record is from RNAcentral.